Molecule: ribosomal RNA, 254 nt
Filed under: uncultured bacterium
Lineage: Bacteria
Description: partial 16S ribosomal RNA
Rfam family: Bacterial small subunit ribosomal RNA
Source: RNAcentral
GACGUAGGGGGCCAGCGUUGCUCGGAAUUACUGGGCGUAAAGGGUCCGUAGGCGGUGCGGUAAGUCGGGAGUGAAAUCUCUGGGCUUAACUCAGAGGCUGCUUCCGAAACUACCGUGCUAGAGUGCGAGAGAGGCAAGUGGAAUUGCGGGUGUAGCGGUGAAAUGCGUAGAUAAUCCGCAGGAACAUCCGAGGCGAAAGCGGCUUGCUGGAUCGCAACUGACGCUGAGGGACGAAAGCUAGGGGAGCAAACAGG